This is a long non-coding RNA of Sinocyclocheilus rhinocerous, 322 nucleotides long. RefSeq lists it as uncharacterized. The record is from RefSeq and is a predicted model, not a curated record. The transcript has 3 exons. Lineage: Eukaryota; Metazoa; Chordata; Actinopteri; Cypriniformes; Cyprinidae.
GAAGCUCUAGAAACAAUAUGACUGAAAACAUCUGAAAUCAGAUAUUCACUGAGCAGGAGAUGAUGGAGAUUUGCUUGAUAUGAAACAUCCUCAUCAUCAUCAGCUGCCAGAUGAAUGCAGAAAGAGUCUCUGACAAAAAAAAGAAAGAAAAAGAGUCCUUAAGAGAGGCGUUUUCCCCACAGUCUACCCAGUUCACCCAAAAAUCAUCAUUCUGUCAUUUACAGAAAAAGAUGAACAUUGCAUGGCAAUCAAAACAAUACAGAUACUGUACUUUCUUGCAUGCAAAACAUGGAAUGCAAAACUCUUGUUCAGUAAAAAAUAU